GUGUCAGCCGCCGCGGUAAGACGUAGGGAGCAAGCGUUGUCCGGAUUUACUGGGCGUAAAGGGCGCGUAGGCGGUCUGUUAAGUGUGAAGUGAAAUCUCCAGGGCUCAACCCGGAAACCGCUUCGCAUACUGGCAGACUGGAGGAAGGCAGAGGUAACUGGAAUUCCUGGUGUAGCGGUGAAAUGCGUUGAUAUCAGGAGGAACUCCAAUGGCGAAGGCAGGUUACUGGGCCUUAUCUGACGCUGAGGCGCGAAAGCGUGGGUAGCAAACAGGAUUAGAAACCCCCGUAGUCC
Molecule: ribosomal RNA, 293 nt
Filed under: uncultured bacterium
Lineage: Bacteria
Description: partial 16S ribosomal RNA
Rfam family: Bacterial small subunit ribosomal RNA
Source: RNAcentral